GAAGAUAGCCAGCCUGCCUGGCAUAUAAUUCUAUCCCACCUUGUGUGCAAACAAUGGAAAAGAAAGAGAGAAUAUUGGAUGCUUGUAUCCAACCUCUCUAAAAUUUUUUACAAACUCCAUCAAAUUUUGAAAUAAAACUAUUUUUUUAAUAAAAAAUAUUAUA
RNAcentral lists this unclassified non-coding RNA (163 nucleotides) under soil metagenome. Its description in RNAcentral is "partial internal transcribed spacer 1". The record is from RNAcentral.